UGGGGAAUUUUGGACAAUGGGGGCAACCCUGAUCCAGCAAUGCCGCGUGAGUGAAGAAGGCCUUCGGGUUGUAAAGCUCUUUUGUCCGGGAAGAAAUCCCCUGGGAUAACACCUCGGGGGGAUGACGGUACUGGAAGAAUAAGCACCGGCUAACUACGUGCCAGCAGCCGCGGUAAUACGUAGGGUGCGAGCGUUAAUCGGAAUUACUGGGCGUAAAGCGUGCGCAGGCGGUUUUCCAAGACAGAUGUGAAAUCCCCGGGCUCAACCUGGGAAUGGCAUUUGUGACUGGAAGGCUAGAGUGUGUCAGAGGGGGGUAGAAUUCCACGUGUAGCAGUGAAAUGCGUAGAGAUGUGGAGGAAUACCGAUGGCGAAGGCAGCCCCCUGGGAUAACACUGACGCUCAUGCACGAAAGCGUGGGGAGCGAACA
This 427-nucleotide ribosomal RNA is filed under the name uncultured Oxalobacteraceae bacterium. RNAcentral describes it as "bacterial SSU rRNA". It matches the Rfam family "Bacterial small subunit ribosomal RNA", at positions 355 to 774 of the family's 1533-position model. Lineage: Bacteria; Pseudomonadati; Pseudomonadota; Betaproteobacteria; Burkholderiales; Oxalobacteraceae. The record is from RNAcentral.